UGGACUCCUGGAUCUGCCACCUUCUUCCUAAAGACCAUGAAACUCUUGCUCCUGACCCUUACUGUAUGUUUGAUCCUGUUCCAGAUACUGCCAGAGCAAUUAUUUUCCUGGCAUUUAUGGAUUCAGUUAAAGCAGUAACUUCUAUACUUCUGUCUGCAGGGGCCAAAAAUCUUGCUGGAUCAUAAAAGGACACUGCAGGAAAAACUGCAAAUCUGGUGAACAGGUGAAAAAGCCAUGUAAAAAUGGUGACUAUUGUUGCAUUCUAAGCAAGACAGAUUCUCAAC
Molecule: long non-coding RNA, 284 nt
Organism: Canis lupus familiaris (dog)
Lineage: Eukaryota; Metazoa; Chordata; Mammalia; Carnivora; Canidae
Exons: 3
Source: RefSeq, a predicted model, not a curated record